RNAcentral lists this ribosomal RNA (186 nucleotides) under uncultured bacterium. RNAcentral's name for it is "partial 16S ribosomal RNA". It matches the Rfam family "Bacterial small subunit ribosomal RNA", at positions 1314 to 1500 of the family's 1533-position model. The record is from RNAcentral.
GCCCACAUGAAGUCGGAGUUGCUAGUAAUCCCGAAUCAGAAUGUCGGGGUGAAUGCGUUCCCGGGUCUUGUACACACCGCCCGUCACGCCAUGGGAGUUGGGGGUAUCCAAAGUCGGUGAGCUAACCGCAAGGGGCAGCCGCCUAAGGUAAAACCAAUGACUGGGGUGAAGUCGUAACAAGGUAGC